Molecule: small RNA, 1033 nt
Filed under: Pongo abelii (Sumatran orangutan)
Lineage: Eukaryota; Metazoa; Chordata; Mammalia; Primates; Hominidae
Description: processed transcript
Source: RNAcentral
AGACUGCACGUUUUUGCGGAUUGGGAGGAGGGCCAACACCUUGGCAGGAUAGCCUCUGGAGCUGCCUUUUGAGGGUGUUUGCCUGUUGGCAUUUUCAGUACUCCACGCGUCAAGAGUCCUUCCAUAGUGACGCCCCCCAAGGACAUCUGGAAUGUCACUGGUGCCCAGGUGUACUUGAGCUGUGAGGUCAUCGGAAUCCCGACACCUGUCCUCAUCUGGAACAAGGUAAAAAGGGGUCACUAUGGAGUUCAAAGGACAGAACUCCUGCCUGGUGACCGGGACAACCUGGCCAUUCAGACCCGGGGUGGCCCAGAAAAGCAUGAAGUAACUGGCUGGGUGCUGGUAUCUCCUCUAAGUAAGGAAGAUGCUGGAGAAUAUGAGUGCCAUGCAUCCAAUUCCCAAGGACAGGCUUCAGCAUCAGCAAAAAUUACAGUGGUUGAUGCCUUACAUGAAAUACCAGUGAAACAAGGUGAAGGUGCCGAGCUAUAAACCUCCAGAAUAUUAUUAGUCUGCAUGGUUAAAAGUAGUCAUGGAUAACUACAUUACCUGUUCUUACCUAAUAAGUUUCUUUUAAUCCAAUCCACUGACACUUUAGUUAUAUUCACUGGUUUUACACAGAGAAAUACAAAAUAAAGAUCACACAUCAAGACUAUCUACAAAAAUUUAUUAUAUAUUUACAGAAGAAAAGCAUGCAUAUCAUUAAACAAAUAAAAUACUUUUUAUCACAACACAGUACAUAUUUGUCAUUUUUAAAAAGCCACAUAAUAGAAACAAGACACCAAGAUAUUUAAUUAUCUUGUUGAGUCUUGUAAAAUAGCUAAACACUCAUCAUUCGCGGUGCAAUACUCAUAGACAUAAGUUCCUGAAACAAUAGUUUGCAUGCAUAAGGCAUUCGCACCAAAGAAAUCUGAAAAGAAAAAACAAAUGGUAAUUAGCAGAAUUGUAUUGAAGUGACCCCACUUCUCUACCCCAGAAAAAAGCAAAGAUCUGGUACUGUAGAUAAUGAAUAAAUGAGUGGAGCUGAGAACAUGCA